RNAcentral lists this ribosomal RNA (520 nucleotides) under uncultured bacterium. RNAcentral describes it as "bacterial SSU rRNA". It matches the Rfam family "Bacterial small subunit ribosomal RNA", at positions 120 to 674 of the family's 1533-position model. The record is from RNAcentral.
GGGAACGUACCCUUCGGUUCGGAAUAACGCUGGGAAACUAGCGCUAAUACCGGAUACGCCCUUAUGGGGAAAGGUUUACUGCCGAAGGAUCGGCCCGCGUCUGAUUAGCUAGUUGGUGGGGUAAUGGCCUACCAAGGCGACGAUCAGUAGCUGGUCUGAGAGGAUGAUCAGCCACACUGGGACUGAGACACGGCCCAGACUCCUACGGGAGGCAGCAGUGGGGAAUAUUGGACAAUGGGCGCAAGCCUGAUCCAGCCAUGCCGCGUGAGUGAUGAAGGCCUUAGGGUUGUAAAGCUCUUUUGUCCGGGACGAUAAUGACGGUACCGGAAGAAUAAGCCCCGGCUAACUUCGUGCCAGCAGCCGCGGUAAUACGAAGGGGGCUAGCGUUGCUCGGAAUCACUGGGCGUAAAGGGCGCGUAGGCGGCCAUUCAAGUCGGGGGUGAAAGCCUGUGGCUCAACCACGGAAUUGCCUUCGAUACUGUUUGGCUUGAGUAUGGCAGAGGUUAGUGGAACUGCGAGU